RNAcentral lists this ribosomal RNA (375 nucleotides) under Triticum aestivum (bread wheat). Its description in RNAcentral is "partial small subunit ribosomal RNA". Lineage: Eukaryota; Viridiplantae; Streptophyta; Magnoliopsida; Poales; Poaceae. The record is from RNAcentral.
AUGGAGCAAGCUAGCAACGCGCAUGACGAGCUGAGCCUCGAGCUCACCCUGGCCAGCGCCGUGGGCGUGGCGCUGGCGGCGCCUCGCUUCUUCCUCUGCGCCUACUGCGACCGCAGGUUCCUCACCGCGCAGGGGCUCGGCGGCCACCAGAACGCGCACGAGCAAGAGCGCGCCGUUGCCAGGCUCCACCGCGACGCCGCCACCGACAUGCGCGCACAAGCAAGAUUGCGCCGUUGCCAGGCUCCACCGGCAGCAUGCAAGGCUGCUUCUCUGUUGCCCGAGGACGAGGAGCCUGCUGCGGGUGGCAUGGCGCACAAGCGUGGCAACAGCUUGCCAGAGCGUGAGCAAGAGAUGGACUUGUCUCUCCGGCUGUAA